Molecule: ribosomal RNA, 422 nt
Filed under: uncultured bacterium
Lineage: Bacteria
Description: bacterial SSU rRNA
Rfam family: Bacterial small subunit ribosomal RNA
Source: RNAcentral
UAAGGAAUAUUGGACAAUGGAGGCAACUCUGAUCCAGCCAUGCCGCGUGAAGGAAUAAGGCCCUAUGGGUUGUAAACUUCUUUUAGACGGGACAAAACCCCUUUACGUGUAAAGGGUUGAUGGUACUGUCAGAAUAAGCAUCGGCUAACUUCGUGCCAGCAGCCGCGGUAAUACGAAGGAUGCAAGCGUUAUCCGGAAUUAUUGGGUUUAAAGGGUGCGUAGGCGGACUAAUAAGUCAGUGGUGAAAGCCUGCAGCUUAACUGCAGAAUUGCCACUGAUACUGUUAGUCUUGAGUACAGUUGAGGUAGGCGGAAUGUGUCAUGUCGCGGUGAAAUGCUUAGAUAUGACACAGAACACCGAUUGCGAAGGCAGCUUGCUAAGCUGUAACUGACGCUGAGGCACGAAAGCGUGGGGAGCAAACA